This 1539-nucleotide ribosomal RNA is filed under the name Klebsiella pneumoniae. RNAcentral describes it as "bacterial SSU rRNA". It matches the Rfam family "Bacterial small subunit ribosomal RNA". Lineage: Bacteria; Pseudomonadati; Pseudomonadota; Gammaproteobacteria; Enterobacterales; Enterobacteriaceae. The record is from RNAcentral.
AAAUUGAAGAGUUUGAUCAUGGCUCAGAUUGAACGCUGGCGGCAGGCCUAACACAUGCAAGUCGAGCGGUAGCACAGAGAGCUUGCUCUCGGGUGACGAGCGGCGGACGGGUGAGUAAUGUCUGGGAAACUGCCUGAUGGAGGGGGAUAACUACUGGAAACGGUAGCUAAUACCGCAUAAUGUCGCAAGACCAAAGUGGGGGACCUUCGGGCCUCAUGCCAUCAGAUGUGCCCAGAUGGGAUUAGCUAGUAGGUGGGGUAACGGCUCACCUAGGCGACGAUCCCUAGCUGGUCUGAGAGGAUGACCAGCCACACUGGAACUGAGACACGGUCCAGACUCCUACGGGAGGCAGCAGUGGGGAAUAUUGCACAAUGGGCGCAAGCCUGAUGCAGCCAUGCCGCGUGUGUGAAGAAGGCCUUCGGGUUGUAAAGCACUUUCAGCGGGGAGGAAGGCGGUGAGGUUAAUAACCUCAUCGAUUGACGUUACCCGCAGAAGAAGCACCGGCUAACUCCGUGCCAGCAGCCGCGGUAAUACGGAGGGUGCAAGCGUUAAUCGGAAUUACUGGGCGUAAAGCGCACGCAGGCGGUCUGUCAAGUCGGAUGUGAAAUCCCCGGGCUCAACCUGGGAACUGCAUUCGAAACUGGCAGGCUAGAGUCUUGUAGAGGGGGUAGAAUUCCAGGUGUAGCGGUGAAAUGCGUAGAGAUCUGGAGGAAUACCGGUGGCGAAGGCGGCCCCCUGGACAAAGACUGACGCUCAGGUGCGAAAGCGUGGGGAGCAAACAGGAUUAGAUACCCUGGUAGUCCACGCCGUAAACGAUGUCGAUUUGGAGGUUGUGCCCUUGAGGCGUGGCUUCCGGAGCUAACGCGUUAAAUCGACCGCCUGGGGAGUACGGCCGCAAGGUUAAAACUCAAAUGAAUUGACGGGGGCCCGCACAAGCGGUGGAGCAUGUGGUUUAAUUCGAUGCAACGCGAAGAACCUUACCUGGUCUUGACAUCCACAGAACUUUCCAGAGAUGGAUUGGUGCCUUCGGGAACUGUGAGACAGGUGCUGCAUGGCUGUCGUCAGCUCGUGUUGUGAAAUGUUGGGUUAAGUCCCGCAACGAGCGCAACCCUUAUCCUUUGUUGCCAGCGGUUCGGCCGGGAACUCAAAGGAGACUGCCAGUGAUAAACUGGAGGAAGGUGGGGAUGACGUCAAGUCAUCAUGGCCCUUACGACCAGGGCUACACACGUGCUACAAUGGCAUAUACAAAGAGAAGCGACCUCGCGAGAGCAAGCGGACCUCAUAAAGUAUGUCGUAGUCCGGAUUGGAGUCUGCAACUCGACUCCAUGAAGUCGGAAUCGCUAGUAAUCGUAGAUCAGAAUGCUACGGUGAAUACGUUCCCGGGCCUUGUACACACCGCCCGUCACACCAUGGGAGUGGGUUGCAAAAGAAGUAGGUAGCUUAACCUUCGGGAGGGCGCUUACCACUUUGUGAUUCAUGACUGGGGUGAAGUCGUAACAAGGUAACCGUAGGGGAACCUGCGGUUGGAUCACCUCCUUA